UACAGGUGAUUUAAAAAGAAGGUUUAAAGAACAUAAUCAAACAAAGACCGGAUAUACCCAAAAAGGUAAAUGGGAAUUGAUAUAUUAUGAAGGAUACAAAAACCAACAAGAUGCACAAGAAAGAGAAAAACAGUUAAAAAAUCACGGACAAGCCAAAAGAUGGUUAAAAGAAAGAAUAAAAAGAAGUCUUAAUGAAUGAAGUUGAGUGCUGGUGGUAGAAGAGCAUCGUAUGAUAGGGAGAAGGAGAAUUGAAAAAGACUCUGGACGAAAUACGAGAGAGAAUGUUGGCAUGAGUAGCGAGAUGUGUGUGAGAAUCACACAGGCCGAAAACCCAAGGAUUUCCAAGGAAGGUUCGUCCGCUUGGAGUAAGUCGGGACCUAAGGAGAGGCAGAAAUGCGUAUCUGAUGGACAACAGGUUAAGAUUCCUGUACCUACGCUUAUCGCCAAAGAGGAGAAGGAAUGACGCAGGAGGAUAAGAUCAGCGCACGGCUGGAAGAGUGCGUCCAAGCAGUAAGGCAGGCAUAUAGGCAAAUCCGUAUGCUAAAAAUGCUAAGCUGUGAUGGGGAGAGAAGUUUAGUAUCGAAGGAUCUGAUUUCACACUGACAGGAAAAGUUUCUAUCCAGAUAAGAGUAGCCCGUACCAAAACCGACACAGGUGGGUAAGGUGAGAAACCUAAGGCCGGCGAGAGAACUGUUGUUAAGGAACUCGGCAAAAUGACCCCGUAACUUAGGGAUAAGGGGUGCCUUAGAGAUAAGGCUUCAAGAAAAAGGCCCAAGCGACUGUUUACCAAAAACAUAGGUCUCUGCGAAACCGCAAGGUGAAGUAUAGGGGCUGACGCCUGCCCGGUGCUGGAAGGUUAAGAGGAGAUGUCAGGCAACGAAGCAUUGAAUUUAAGCCCCAGUAAACGGCGGCCGUAACUAUAACGGUCCUAAGGUAGCGAAAUUCCUUGUCGGGUAAGUUCCGACCCGCACGAAAGGCGUAACGAUUUGGGCACUGUCUCAACAACAGACUCGGUGAAAUUGUAGUACCGGUGAAGAUGCCGGAAACCUGCGACAGGACGGAAAGACCCCAUGGAGCUUUACUGUAGCUUAGUAUUGAAUUUAUGUAAUUAAUGUACAGAAUAGGUGGGAGGCUGAGAGAUUAGGUCGUCAGAUUUAAAGGAGCCGCCUUUGGGAUACCACCCUUUGAUUAUGUGAGUUCUAACCGGAAUCUUUGAAGCAAGGUACGGGACAGUGCUUGGCGGACAGUUUGACUGGGGCGGUCGCCUCCCAAAGAGUAACGGAGGCGUCCAAAGGUUCCCUCAGCAUGGUCGGAAAUCAUGCGAAGAGUGCAAAGGCAAAAGGGAGCUUGAUUGCGAGACCAACAAGUCGAGCAAAGACGAAAGUCGGGCUUAGUGAUCCGGUGGUAGAAAGUGGAAUUGCCAUCGCUCAACGGAUAAAAGCUACCCUGGGGAUAACAGGCUGAUCUCCCCCAAGAGUUCACAUCGACGGGGAGGUUUGGCACCUCGAUGUCGGCUCAUCGCAUCCUGGGGCU
Molecule: ribosomal RNA, 1533 nt
Filed under: human metagenome
Description: bacterial LSU rRNA
Rfam family: Bacterial large subunit ribosomal RNA
Source: RNAcentral